AAUAGAUACCCGGGUAGUCCACGCCGUAAACGAUGAGUGCUAAGUGUUGGGGGUUUCCGCCCCUCAGUGCUGCAGCUAACGCAUUAAGCACUCCGCCUGAGGAGUACGGUCGCAAGACUGAAACUCAAAGGAAUUGACGGGGGCCCGCACAAGCGGUGGAGCAUGUGGUUUAAUUCGAAGCAACGCGAAGAACCUUACCAGGUCUUGACAUCCCGGUGACCACUAUGGAGACAUAGUUUCCCCUUCGGGGGCAACGGUGACAGGUGGUGCAUGGUUGUCGUCAGCUCGUGUCGUGAGAUGUUGGGUUAAGUCCCGCAACGAGCGCAACCCUUAUUCUUAGUUGCCAUCAUUCAGUUGGGCACUCUAAGGAGACUGCCGGUGAUAAACCGGAGGAAGGUGGGGAUGACGUCAAAUCAUCAUGCCCCUUAUGACCUGGGCUGCACACGUGCUACAAUGGACGGUACAAACGGUUGCCAACCCGCGAGGGGGAGCUAAUCCGAUAAAACCGUUCUCAGUUCGGAUUGUAGGCUGCAACUCGCCUAC
This 543-nucleotide ribosomal RNA is filed under the name uncultured bacterium. RNAcentral describes it as "bacterial SSU rRNA". It matches the Rfam family "Bacterial small subunit ribosomal RNA", at positions 777 to 1319 of the family's 1533-position model. The record is from RNAcentral.